Carassius gibelio (silver crucian carp) is the source of this 1410-nucleotide long non-coding RNA. RefSeq lists it as uncharacterized. NCBI's taxonomy places the organism in Eukaryota, Metazoa, Chordata, Actinopteri, Cypriniformes, Cyprinidae. The record is from RefSeq and is a predicted model, not a curated record. The transcript is spliced from 2 exons.
AUUGAACGACAACUUGUUCUUGCACUAUUUUUGUAAUAUAUUUAUGUUUACAUUCUGAAUUGGUUGUAUAAGAACUUUAGCCCAUACUUUGCAACACAGCGCAGAACCUCACAAGACCGUAAUAAAAUGACCUUGAUAAACCAAAUGCUAUUGCACAUUUGAUAAGAAGGCUGAUUCACAAGAUAACAACAUUUAUUUUUUCAAGAACACAGCAUAUCUUUGAACAAACACAGAUGUACAGCUAAACUCAAUGUAGCUUGCACAAAUGUGUUACAACUUAUCUUUGCUUCAAUAAAUAAUAGAGACAUUAUGCAUUUUGAGAAAUGUUCUUCAGAGAAAUGUCCUUACAGUCUUCAAAGCAAAAGAGAAUCAUGCAUAACCUGAUGCUAAAUGCUUUGUCAAAAAUCAGUUACUGAGGUCUUGCAUGGGAUGCUUGGGGAAAUUGUACUGGGAUUAUUGCGGUUUACCAUUGAGAUAAAAUCAAAUAAAAAUGCAAAAAUAAUAAUGUUGAUGCAGUGAAUAAAGGGCUUUCAGAGUUUUGAAGAGUCUUCCCACACAUCUCCAUCAGAAUAGACACUGUGGACGGGUCCUGGUAUGUGUAGUAAGGGUCACGGUUACAGCACAGACAUUCAGUGUCCCUCCAGGCAAAUUAUUUAACUGGGAAAAGCGGAACACGUGUCUGACAAUGAAAACAGGUAUAAGACAAAAUCUUGGUCUCUUGACAGACUGUCUUGGAUUGCUCCCAGCACUAAAAACAGAAGCAAUGACGCAUCUCUACGCUCCGAACAUACCAUGAGAUAAAACAAAAAGGACAGAAACACCGUCCAUGCUGCCCAUGCAUUAUUUCCUACUGCUCUCAAAAGCUUUAGAAAGAAGUUUAAAAUAUAUUUGUAUGCUGUGUGACGAGUGGGGCGGGGCCAAGAGCCGUGGGAAUGAUUGGAGGCUGGUGGAAAUGAGCGACACCUGCGCCACUCACCGGUCUCCGGAAGGACACAAAAGAGGAGUUACGACAGUGAAGGACGAGAGAGGACCAGGUUACUUUACAUUGUGUGACGAGCACUCCCAGAGGAAUCAGUGUCGCCCUGGAAACCAAAGCAGAACACCUGCACGUCCUCGUCACCGGCUGAUCGGUCACAGCUGCUCCCCAUCAGCCAGCACACUCAAAAGGAGCACACACUGCACUCAGAAGACGGUCUCGAUCCGAAUGCAACGCUGGUCUUCACAGAAAGCAGCGAGUGACCGACAGCCCACACACUUUGGAGGACAUCAGGACACCCACUUUCACCUUGAUUUGGCACCGAAGAGCACGGAGAGCACACGGGAAGCACCAACCAGUAGAAAGCGGAUCAGGACACUUCACCAGGCACCCUUCACUUAUCAAUAAACCCACCCUCCGGGGCAUUUAAUUCA